Molecule: ribosomal RNA, 332 nt
Filed under: uncultured bacterium
Lineage: Bacteria
Description: bacterial SSU rRNA
Rfam family: Bacterial small subunit ribosomal RNA
Source: RNAcentral
CGUGUAGGCGGUUGGUCAAGUCUGGUGUGAAAGCCCGGGGCUUAGCUCCGGAAGUGCGCUGGAAACUAGCCGACUUGAGCGCGAUAGAGGAGGGUGGAAUUCCUGGUGUAGCGGUGAAAUGCGUAGAUAUCAGGAGGAACACCGGCGGCGAAGGCGGCCCUCUGGAUCGUUGCUGACGCUGAGACGCGAAAGCGUGGGGAGCAAACAGGAUUAGGUACCCUGGUAGUCCACGCUGUAAACUAUGGGUACUAGGUGUUCGGGGUGUUGACCCCCUGAGUGCCGACGCUAACGCAUUAAGUACCCCGCCUGGGGACUACGGCCGCAAGGCUAAA